RNAcentral lists this ribosomal RNA (798 nucleotides) under uncultured Glomeromycotina. Its description in RNAcentral is "SSU rRNA". It matches the Rfam family "Eukaryotic small subunit ribosomal RNA", at positions 314 to 1114 of the family's 1831-position model. Lineage: Eukaryota; Fungi; Glomeromycota. The record is from RNAcentral.
AUCAACUUUCGAUGGUAGGAUAGAGGCCUACCAUGGUGGUAACGGGUAACGGGGUGUUAGGGCACGACACCGGAGAGGGAGCCUGAGAAACGGCUACCACAUCCAAGGAUGGCAGCAGGCGCGCAAAUUACCCAAUCCCGACACGGGGAGGUAGUGACAAUAAAUAACAAUACGGGGUCCUUUCGGGUUUCGUAAUUGGAAUGAGUACAAUUUAAAUCUCUUAACGAGGAACAAUUGGAGGGCAAGUCUGGUGCCAGCAGCCGCGGUAAUUCCAGCUCCAAUAGCGUAUAUUAAAGUUGUUGCAGUUAAAAAGCUCGUAGUUGAAUUUCGGGAUUAGUACGUCGGUCGUGCCUUCGGUACGUACUGGUGUUACUGAUUCCUACCUUCUGACGAACCAUCAUGUCAUUAAUUUGGUGUGGCGGGGAAUCAGGACUGUUACUUUGAAAAAAUUAGAGUGUUUAAAGCAGGCUCGCGCUUGAAUACAUUAGCAUGGAAUAAUGAAAUAGGACGUUGACCCUAUUUUGUUGGUUUCUAGGAUUGACGUAAUGAUUAAUAGGGAUAGUUGGGGGCAUUAGUAUUCAAUUGUCAGAGGUGAAAUUCUUGGAUUUAUUGAAGACUAACUACUGCGAAAGCAUUUGCCAAGGAUGUUUUCAUUAAUCAAGAACGAAAGUUAGGGGAUCGAAGACGAUCAGAUACCGUCGUAGUCUUAACCAUAAACUAUGCCGACUAGGGAUCGGAUGAUGUUAAUUUUUUAAUGACUCAUUCGGCGCCUUACGGGAAACCAAAGUGUUUGGGUUC